RNAcentral lists this ribosomal RNA (417 nucleotides) under uncultured bacterium. RNAcentral's name for it is "bacterial SSU rRNA". It matches the Rfam family "Bacterial small subunit ribosomal RNA", at positions 356 to 772 of the family's 1533-position model. The record is from RNAcentral.
AAGGAAUAUUGCUCAAUGGGAGAAAUCCUGAAGCAGCAACGCCGCGUGGAGGAUGAAGGGUCUAUGACUUGUAAACUCCUGUAAAGAAGGAAAAAAUUCCCAUUUGAUGGGAGAUGAUGGUACUUCUGGAGUAAGCCCCGGCUAACUACGUGCCAGCAGCCGCGGUAAUACGUAGGGGGCAAGCGUUGUCCGGAUUUACUGGGUGUAAAGGGUGCUCAGGCGGAUUUGUAAGUCAGAGGUGAAAUCUUACAGCUUAACUGUGAAACUGCCUUUGAUACUGCAAGCCUAGAGUAUGGAAGAGAGUGAUGGAAUAUCUGGUGUAGCAGUGAAAUGCGUAGAUAUCAGAUAGAACACCAAUGGCGAAGGCAGUCACUUGGUCCAUUACUGACGCUAAAGCACGAAAGCGUGGGUAGCAAA